GACGAACGCUGGCGGCGUGCUUAACACAUGCAAGUCGAACGGAAAGGCCCCUUUGGGGGUACUCGAGCGGCGAACGGGUGAGUAACGCGUGAGUAACCUGCCCUUGACUUCGGGAUAACUUCAGGAAACUGGGGCGAAUACCGGAUAGGAAUCCUUUCUGCCUGGUGGGGGUUGGAAAGCUUCGGCGGUUUUGGAUGGACUCGCGGCUUAUCUGCUUGGUGGUGGGGUAGUGGCUUACCAAGGCUUUGUCGGGUAGCCGGCCUGGGAGGGCGACCGGCCACAUUGGGACUGAGAUACGGCCCAGACUCCUACGGGAGGGAGCAGUGGGGAAUAUUGCACAAUGGGCGGAAGCCUGAUGCAGCAACGCCGCGGGCGGGAUGACGGCCUUCGGGUUGGAAACCGCUUUCAGCAGGGGCGAAGCUUGUGGUGACGGUACCUGCAGAAGAAGCACCGGCUAACUACGUG
This 465-nucleotide ribosomal RNA is filed under the name uncultured bacterium. RNAcentral describes it as "partial 16S ribosomal RNA". It matches the Rfam family "Bacterial small subunit ribosomal RNA", at positions 28 to 507 of the family's 1533-position model. The record is from RNAcentral.